Molecule: ribosomal RNA, 490 nt
Filed under: Bacillus sp. Arv-9-2.1b
Lineage: Bacteria; Bacillati; Bacillota; Bacilli; Caryophanales; Bacillaceae
Description: bacterial SSU rRNA
Rfam family: Bacterial small subunit ribosomal RNA
Source: RNAcentral
UGCAAGUCGAGCGAACUGAUUAGAAGCUUGCUUCUAUGACGUUAGCGGCGGACGGGUGAGUAACACGUGGGCAACCUGCCUGUAAGACUGGGAUAACUUCGGGAAACCGAAGCUAAUACCGGAUAGGAUCUUCUCCUUCAUGGGAGAUGAUUGAAAGAUGGUUUCGGCUAUCACUUACAGAUGGGCCCGCGGUGCAUUAGCUAGUUGGUGAGGUAACGGCUCACCAAGGCAACGAUGCAUAGCCGACCUGAGAGGGUGAUCGGCCACACUGGGACUGAGACACGGCCCAGACUCCUACGGGAGGCAGCAGUAGGGAAUCUUCCGCAAUGGACGAAAGUCUGACGGAGCAACGCCGCGUGAGUGAUGAAGGCUUUCGGGUCGUAAAACUCUGUUGUUAGGGAAGAACAAGUACAAGAGUAACUGCUUGUACCUUGACGGUACCUAACCAGAAAGCCACGGCUAACUACGUGCCAGCAGCCGCGGUAAUACG